GACGAACGCUUGCGGCGUGCUUAAUACAUGCAAGUCGAACGGAAAGGCCCUGCUUUUGUGGGGUGCUCGAGUGGCGAACGGGUGAGUAACACGCGAGUAACCUGUCCUUGACUUUGGGAUAACUUCAGGAAACUGGGGCUAUUACCGGAUAGGAGCUCCUGCUGCACGGGGGGGGUUGGAAAGUUUCGGCGGUGGGGGAUGGACUCGCGGCUUAUCAGCUUGUUGGUGGGGUAGUGGCUUACCAAGGCUUUGACGGGUAGCCGGCAUGGGAGGGUGACCGGCCACAUUGGGACUGCGAUACGGCCCAGACUCCUACGGGAGGCAGCAGUGGGGAAUCUUGCACAAUGGGCGGAAGCCUGAUGCAGCAACGCCGCGUGCGGGAUGCCCGCCUUCGGGUUGUAAACCGCUUUCGCCUGUGCCGAAGCGUGAGUGACGGUAAUGGGUAAAGAAGCACCGGCUAACUACGUG
This 468-nucleotide ribosomal RNA is filed under the name uncultured bacterium. Its description in RNAcentral is "partial 16S ribosomal RNA". It matches the Rfam family "Bacterial small subunit ribosomal RNA", at positions 28 to 507 of the family's 1533-position model. The record is from RNAcentral.